GAGUUUGAUCCUGGCGUCAGGACUGAACGCUGGCGGCGUGCUUAACACAUGCAAGUCGAACGAGGCAGCGGCCUUCGGGCCGUUGUCGAGUGGCGAACGGGUGAGUAACACUGUGAGGAACCUGCCCCGGAGACCGGAAUAACCAGGGGAAACUCUGGCUAAUACCGGAUGCCCGCGGAUGGUCGCAUGGCCAACCGAGGAAACGCUCCGGUGCUCCGGGAGGGCCUCGCGGCCUAUCAGUUUGUUGGUGGGGUAACGGGCUACCAAGGCAUCGACGGCUAGCUGGUCUGAGAGGACGAUCAGCCACACUGUUACUGAGACACGGCCCAAACUCCUACUGGAGGCAGCAGUGGGGAAUAUUGCGCAAUGGGCGAAAGCCUGACGCAGCAACGCCUCGUGGAGGAUGAAGGCCUUCGUGCUUGUAAACCCCUUUCAGCAGGGACGAAAAUGACUAGUACCUGCAGAACAUGCCCCGGCCAACUACGUGCCAGUAGCCG
RNAcentral lists this ribosomal RNA (497 nucleotides) under uncultured sponge symbiont. Its description in RNAcentral is "bacterial SSU rRNA". It matches the Rfam family "Bacterial small subunit ribosomal RNA", at positions 9 to 517 of the family's 1533-position model. The record is from RNAcentral.